This 460-nucleotide ribosomal RNA is filed under the name uncultured bacterium. RNAcentral's name for it is "partial 16S ribosomal RNA". It matches the Rfam family "Bacterial small subunit ribosomal RNA", at positions 338 to 795 of the family's 1533-position model. The record is from RNAcentral.
CCUACGGGAGGCAGCAGUGAGGAAUAUUGGUCAAUGGGCGCGAGCCUGAACCAGCCAAGUAGCGUGAAGGAUGACUGCCCUACGGGUUGUAAACUUCGUUUAUAAAGGAAUAAAGUGAGGCAAGUGUGCCUUUUUGUAUGUACUUUAUGAAUAAGGAUCGGCUAACUCCGUGCCAGCAGCCGCGGUAAUACGGAGGAUCCGAGCGUUAUCCGGAUUUAUUGGGUUUAAAGGGAGCGUAGAUGGGUUGUUAAGUCAGUUGUGAAAGUUUGCGGUUCAACCGUAAAAUUGCAAUUGAUACUGGCAGCCUUGAGUACAGUUGAGGUAGGCGGAAUUCGGGGUGUAGCGGUGAAAUGCGUAGAUAUCACGAAGAACUCCGAUUGCGAAGGCAGCUUACUAAACUGCCACUGACAUUGAUGCUCGAAAGUGUGGGUAUCAAACAGGAUUAGAUACCCGAGUAGUC